This 482-nucleotide ribosomal RNA is filed under the name Babesia sp. RNAcentral describes it as "SSU rRNA". It matches the Rfam family "Eukaryotic small subunit ribosomal RNA", at positions 542 to 1048 of the family's 1831-position model. Lineage: Eukaryota; Apicomplexa; Aconoidasida; Piroplasmida; Babesiidae. The record is from RNAcentral.
UAUCAAUUGGAGGGCAAGUCUGGUGCCAGCAGCCGCGGUAAUUCCAGCUCCAAUAGCGUAUAUUAAAGUUGUUGCAGUUAAGAAGCUCGUAGUUGAAUUUCUGCCUUAUCAUUAAUUUCGCUUCCGAACGUAAUUUUAUUGAUUUGGCAUCUUCUGGAUUUAUAUUUUUAUUAAUAUUUUUCCAGUAUUUACUUUGAGAAAACUAGAGUGUUUCAAACAGGCUAUUGCCUUGAAUACUACAGCAUGGAAUAAUGAAGUAGGACUUUGGUUCUAUUUUGUUGGUUAUCGAACCAUAGUAAUGGUUAAUAGGAGCAGUUGGGGGCAUUCGUAUUUAACUGUCAGAGGUGAAAUUCUUAGAUUUGUUAAAGACGAACUACUGCGAAAGCAUUUGCCAAGGAUGUUUUCAUUAAUCAAGAACGAAAGUUAGGGGAUCGAAGACGAUCAGAUACCGUCGUAGUCCUAACCAUAAACUAUGCCGACUA